RNAcentral lists this unclassified non-coding RNA (22 nucleotides) under Mus musculus (house mouse). RNAcentral describes it as "oocyte_clustered_small_RNA10426". The record is from RNAcentral. Lineage: Eukaryota; Metazoa; Chordata; Mammalia; Rodentia; Muridae.
UUCUUUGUGACUUCCUGUCAGU